Musa acuminata subsp. malaccensis (wild Malaysian banana) is the source of this 1870-nucleotide non-coding RNA. NCBI's taxonomy places the organism in Eukaryota, Viridiplantae, Streptophyta, Magnoliopsida, Zingiberales, Musaceae. The record is from RefSeq and is a predicted model, not a curated record.
UCUCUUGUUGUGCGUCUCCCGUAAGCCUGCUCCCCUCCAGUAUAACGGCGACCGGGGCCUCGGGUCGGCCGUCGCCUGAUGCAAUCUUCUUCAACCUCACCAUUCAUCAAAAUCAUUCGCGUUUGGUACCUCAGCUUUCUGCAUGCAGUGCUGUAGGCAUCUUGAUUUCAACUUGUUAAUGAAGUCCCUUGCCCUGCAAAGGGAAUUCUGUUAGAACUCUGGGUUUGAUAUGCAUGUUAUGAGCCUUGUAAUCAGAUAUAGCAGCUAAUAGUUUGGAUGAUAUUUCCAUGUCCCAUCAUACUUACUCUUUUCGUUGCUUCAUCUCUUAGGCUUCUUAACAUUUCAAAUCUUGCAACUUUAAUAUUCUAUGAACACUUUUGAUGCUCGUCUCUACACCCUUUCUUUUUAUUUAAGGUGUUAUGGUGAAAAUUAUGUUAAACAUCCACAGGGAAGUAGAAGCUGCAAUAUAUGAGAAACAUAAGAUAUGUGGGCCCUUAUAUUCCUGAUGUUUGAGGACCAAGUACUUUUCCAAGAAAGCCCUACAUGGAGGUAAAGGGGGCAAUAUGACCAUGAAACACACUUUUGAUGAUGAGGACAAAGUCAAAUGGUUAAAUUUCAUGGUUCUUUAUAAGUUUAUAUUUCAAAUUGAAUUUGGAUUUGACCACAGUUUUGUGGUUCUAUUUAGAUAGCCCUGUCCAAAAUCAUCUCUGACCCAAUUAAAUACCUGGAAGAUCAGUACUAGUCAGCACUGGAAGCAGAAACCACAAUGACAGCCAACAAUAAAUAAUCUUCCAAAAAAAGCUUUUAAUGGUGACUUGGAGGACAACGUGAUGAAGACAAAAGGGAAGUUAUAUUUAUGUGUUGUCGUGGUACUUAUUUUAUUGCCUUUGUGCUUAUGGCUUAUUGCAGCCAGGAUAGUAGGACACAGAAAGCUAUGAAAGGAGGCAGCUGUUAAAUUACUUGUCUUUCAUAUAAAAUGAUAUGAAACUGGACUAGUUUUGCAUGCAGCUGCCACUUUGAUGGACCAAGAAAGCUCCAUACAUCACUUGUUGAAAAUCUGGUUUGAAAUUUUAUGAAAAUGGUUGUCACAAAAACUAUUGAAUGCAUCAUUCUGAAUUUUGGUGUGCAGCUUGAAUUAGGUGGACUGCAUGAGCAGAACAAAAAUGUAAUUAUUGAGGAAAUGAAGGCCCCAAAAGAGCAUCUCAGGUCAAGGUAUAUCUGGAAGGAUGUCAUGGAACAUUUUGCUAAAAGCUCAAUUCUUUUGCAGACUUCCUCUGCUGCUUCUUGAAAGUGUUUUAGGAAGGAGGAGAUAAUGAUCAUCAAUCACAUAUUCAGGAACCUGGUGUAGCUUAAUGUCAUUCUUAUUCAUUUUGACAUUGCUGUCACCAAUACAUAAAACCAAAAUAUGAGUUUGCUACAAGAUUGCCUCCUUAGAAGAGAGAGAUGGAAAACUGGCAUAUGUGAGAGGGAUCAGGUUCCUACUCCAGCUUGCAAGCAACCCCAGCAGCAGAGGAAUGCAAAGGAACUCAGCACCCCAGUGACACAAUUCCUCAUGAAUUGACUCACUUAUGGCUUUUUGAGUUCAGAGUUUGUGGCAUCAGAUUGCUGCAAAAUCCAUUCACAAAGAAUUUGAAGUGGUAGGUGUAUGAAUGAUCAUGAAUGUGAAAUUGUUUUAAGACAAAAUAUGAUCAUAUGCAUCCCCUGCAAGUUUGAAAAUCCAUCAAACACUUUCCCAAACUAUUUUACAUUUGUAGUUCUCCAUUAUUCUGCUAGAUGUGAAAAUAGAGUGCUGUCAAAUAGGCUGAUUCCAGGAUGGAAUUGCACUAAAUGUGGUAGAAAGAAAGGAGACUGAGAUCAUGUUUGAAAGAUA